This is a long non-coding RNA of Hippocampus comes (tiger tail seahorse), 541 nucleotides long. RefSeq lists it as uncharacterized. The record is from RefSeq and is a predicted model, not a curated record. NCBI's taxonomy places the organism in Eukaryota, Metazoa, Chordata, Actinopteri, Syngnathiformes, Syngnathidae. The transcript is spliced from 2 exons.
GUGUGUGUGUGUGUGUGUGUGUGUGCGCGCGUGUGUCAGGACGACAGGUGAAAGGAAGGCUGCUGAUUUUAGCCUGGCCCAACAGUCAAUGAGGAUUGACAGAGCACAGCUGUUGGCCCCUUUAUAGACGCAUGUAUUGGGGGGUUCACAAAGGGGACUGGGAGGGCCGGCCGGGCGGCGUGGGGGACGGGGGUCUGGGUGGGGUUCACCCGAGGAUGCAAAGCUGUCAAUGAUGGCUGCAUUUGGACAAGAAGGAGGUCUAAAAAUAAGGAUUUUCUACCCUGCAAACGUUGAAGAAAGACCUGAAGCAACACCUUGCUGUGGCUGGUCAAACGGAACCAAGUCAGGUGUUUCUGUGAGGUUUGGUCCCCUUCAACCAGCUACUGCGUCGUGCAUUCAGUCAGCGGACGCCCGCCCACGUGCGUGGUCGUCAUAGUAACGAUGAUAACCGGAUAGUUGACGUGCCCAAAGUGGAGUAAUUCACUGUUUCCUGUGUGUGGCUGUGCACGCGAAAAGUCAAUAAAUUAAUAAAAUAACGGAA